Long non-coding RNA from Peromyscus maniculatus bairdii (prairie deer mouse), 691 nucleotides. RefSeq lists it as uncharacterized. Lineage: Eukaryota; Metazoa; Chordata; Mammalia; Rodentia; Cricetidae. The record is from RefSeq and is a predicted model, not a curated record.
CUGCCUCUUGGGGGACAUCUCUCGUCCACCCCACCUCGCGGAGCUGAGCAAGUGAGCUGAAAAACCUAGGUCCACUGGAGGCCGUCAGCACUGGAGCAAGUUUUGUCCUCGGCUCUCUUCUCUGGCUCCCCCUGGAGCAAUCAUCAACUGCCAACAGCUUCUCAGCUAAAAUUGGGCCUGUUAACUUGCCAAGAAGGCUAGGCAGACUGGCCAGCGAAUCCCAGGGGUCCACCUGUCUCUGCCUCCAUGGCUGCUGAGAUAAUAAAGCAUGCCACCAAGCCCUGCUUUUUCUUUUUUUAAUUUUCUAGUCUCUGGGAGUUGAACCCAGGUCUUCACACUUGCAAGAUACCCAGAAAACCUGGUGAUUUAAAGGCACCCAGGCAGCGAAGGUCUGACCAGUUUCCAGACCAGUUCAGGCAAUGCACAAUAUUGUGUCUCUCAUAUUCCGAAGGAGCUCGCCAUGUGGCUUUGGGAGAGCAGCCUUUCUCCCUGCAUCUGGACCAACAGAACGACACAACUUCUGCUUCCAGGCCUCCUCCAGCCCAGCAGCCCUUUAGGUACCUGGUCCAUGCUUUCGAGCACAAAAUUUGAUCUUGUUGCUUGGAAGUUAGGUCACCUUUGCCUCCAUUCUGCCUGCCAGAGCCAAUGUGACUCAUGGGCAUCAUUGGGCCUUUCUUUUUAAAUAAAUAAU